This is a small nuclear RNA of Equus caballus (horse), 107 nucleotides long. The record is from Ensembl. Lineage: Eukaryota; Metazoa; Chordata; Mammalia; Perissodactyla; Equidae.
GUGCUCACCUGGGCAGCACAUAUGCUAAAAUUGGAACGGUACAGAAAAGAUUAGCAUGGCCUCUGCGCAAGGAUCACACACAAAUUUGUGAAGCAUUCCAUUAAAAA